GCCGGGGUGGUGUACCUGGUGUGCACGUUGCUCUGAAAAAGCAAAGGUUGCAGUUCGAUUCUGCGCCCCGGCA
RNAcentral lists this transfer RNA (73 nucleotides) under bacterium. RNAcentral's name for it is "tRNA-Phe". It matches the Rfam family "tRNA". From Rfam's summary of the family: Transfer RNA (tRNA) molecules are approximately 80 nucleotides in length. The record is from RNAcentral.